GAUGAACGCUGGCGGCGUGCCUAAUACAUGCAAGUCGAGCGAGCAGACGAGGAGCUUGCUCCUCUGACGUUAGCGGCGGACGGGUGAGUAACACGUGGAUAACCUACCUAUAAGACUGGGAUAACUUCGUGAAACCGGAGCUAAUACCGGAUAAUAUAUUUAACCGCAUGGUUCAAUAGUGAAAGACGGUUUUGCUGUCACUUAUAGAUGGAUCCGCGCCGCAUUAGCUAGUUGGUAAGGUAACGGCUUACCAAGGCAACGAUGCGUAGCCGACCUGAGAGGGUGAUCGGCAACACUGGAACUGAGACAAGGUCCAGACUCCUACGGGAGGCAGCAGUAGGGAAUCUUCCGCAAUGGGCGAAAGCCUGACGGAGCAAAGCCGCGUGAGUGAUGAAGGUCUUCGGAUCGUAAAACUCUGUUAUUAGGGAAGAACAAAUGUGUAAGUAACUAUGCACGUCUUGACGGUACCUAAUCAGAAAGCCACGGCUAACUACGUG
This 497-nucleotide ribosomal RNA is filed under the name uncultured bacterium. RNAcentral describes it as "partial 16S ribosomal RNA". It matches the Rfam family "Bacterial small subunit ribosomal RNA", at positions 28 to 507 of the family's 1533-position model. The record is from RNAcentral.